Molecule: non-coding RNA, 242 nt
Filed under: Megasphaera elsdenii
Lineage: Bacteria; Bacillati; Bacillota; Negativicutes; Veillonellales; Veillonellaceae
Description: T-box sequence
Rfam family: T-box leader
About the family: Uncharged tRNA acts as the effector for transcription antitermination of genes in the T-box leader family. T-boxes are found upstream of many aminoacyl-tRNA synthetase genes and some amino acid biosynthetic genes usually in Gram-positive bacteria.
Source: RNAcentral
UGAAAUCUGAUGACGGGAAAGAGUAGUUCGUCCGGACAUUCCCAGAGAACCGGCGGCUGGUGCGAGCCGGUAAUGAAUGGCGAUUGAAAAUCAUCCCCGAAGAGAAGUGCUGAAGCAAGAUUAAGCACUGACGAUUUUUCCACGUUAUAGGAAACGCGUAUGUUGGUACGUUGUAGAGAGCCUGGUUGCAGCAAUGCACCGGGAAUCAGGGUGGUAUCGCGGAAUAGUACUCCGUCCCUCAG